Molecule: ribosomal RNA, 253 nt
Filed under: uncultured bacterium
Lineage: Bacteria
Description: partial 16S ribosomal RNA
Rfam family: Bacterial small subunit ribosomal RNA
Source: RNAcentral
UACGUAGGCAGCGAGCGUUGUUCGGAAUUACUGGGCGUAAAGAGUGUGUAGGCGGUGCUCUAAGUUCGGUGUGAAAUCUCCUGCUUAACUGGGAGGGUGCGCCGGAAACUGGAGUGCUCGAGCGUGGGAGAGGAAAGCGGAAUUCCUGGUGUAGCGGUGAAAUGACGUAGAUAUCAGGAGGAACACCUGUGGUGUAGACGGCUUUCUGGACCAUAGCUGACGCUGAGACACGAAAGCGUGGGUAGCAAACAGG